Molecule: ribosomal RNA, 414 nt
Filed under: uncultured bacterium
Lineage: Bacteria
Description: bacterial SSU rRNA
Rfam family: Bacterial small subunit ribosomal RNA
Source: RNAcentral
UCGGGAAUAUUGCGCAAUGGAGGAAACUCUGACGCAGUGACGCCGCGUAUAGGAAGAAGUUUUUCGGAAUGUAAACUAUUGUCGUUAGGGAAGAGAAAGGACAGUACCUAAGGAGGAAGCUCCGGCUAACUACGUGCCAGCAGCCGCGGUAAUACGUAGGGAGCGAGCGUUAUCCGGAAUUAUUGGGUGUAAAGGGUGCGUAGACGGGAGAACAAGUUAGUUGUGAAAUCCCUCGGCUUAACUGAGGAACUGCAACUAAACUAUUUUUCUUGAGUGCAGGAGAGGUAAGUGGAAUUCCUAGUGUAGCGGUGAAAUGCGUAGAUAUUAGGAGGAACACCAGUGGCGAAGGCGACUUACUGGACUGUAACUGACGUUGAGGCACGAAAGUGUGGGGAGCAAACAGGAUUAGAUACC